Molecule: ribosomal RNA, 91 nt
Filed under: Tropidurus itambere
Lineage: Eukaryota; Metazoa; Chordata; Lepidosauria; Squamata; Tropiduridae
Description: partial 16S large subunit ribosomal RNA
Source: RNAcentral
UUCAAAGCCCUAGCUCAACCACCCCCUCCAACACAAACCAACACAAAUCAAAACAAACCAUUUGAUACUACUAGUAAAGGAGAUUGAAAAU